RNAcentral lists this ribosomal RNA (253 nucleotides) under uncultured bacterium. RNAcentral's name for it is "partial 16S ribosomal RNA". It matches the Rfam family "Bacterial small subunit ribosomal RNA", at positions 524 to 776 of the family's 1533-position model. The record is from RNAcentral.
UACGUAGGUGACCAGCGUUGUCCGGAUUUACUGGGCGUAAAGAGCGCGCAGGCGGUCGUUCAAGUCGAGUGUGAAAGCCCCCGGCUCAACUGGGGAGGGUCACUCGAUACUGAUCGACUGGAAGGCAGGAGAGGGAAGCGGAAUUCCCGGUGUAGUGGUGAAAUGCGUAGAUAUCGGGAGGAACACCGAUGGCGAAGGCAGGUCUCUGGGCAUUAACUGACGCUGAGGAGCGAAAGCAUGGGGAGCGAACAGG